Long non-coding RNA from Homo sapiens (human), 579 nucleotides. RefSeq lists it as uncharacterized. Lineage: Eukaryota; Metazoa; Chordata; Mammalia; Primates; Hominidae. The record is from RefSeq and is a predicted model, not a curated record. The transcript is spliced from 3 exons.
CUAUAUGGGUAGUGUUCCCAGCCAGUGCAGCAUGACAGAGUCAUCUCCUUAGGUCAAGGGAGGACGAGCUUUGUGCAGGAGCUGGCAGGGACCUGCCAAAAGCUGUUUAUCUGGCUACUUCUGGGGCAAAGUGGUGGCUGGCAGCCCAAGGACGCUUAUCUGCAAGGCUGCUUAAAAAUUCAUGUUAACUCAAUUCAGGACAAGAAAUGGACAAUCUCAGCUUAUUAAAGUCAGAUCAGGUAAUUCUGGAAGAACCACUGGAAGAGCAUCCUGAAAGAUUAAUGUUUCUCAGAACACAUGUUGGAAAACUCUGCCCUAUAUCAUGUUGACUCCAUCUCAGAAGACAGGAUUGGAUUAUAAACAAGACCAGAAGACAGGAUUGGAUUAUAAACAAGACCUAAAAGCAGGAGUCUGGGAGCUGUGGACUGAGUUAAAGGAGAGGAGAAAGGCCAGAGACCUGCCCCACCGCCGCCCGCCCCGGGUCCUAACUCCACUGCUGAUGCCCUCAGUGAUCUUGGCCAAGUCCCUGCCCCCUCCAGGCCUGUCGUGAAUUAAGGAAGGUGUUAAUUAGAUGAGGAG